UCCGUGUUAACCACGGCAGUCUCCUUAGAGAGCCCAACUGAAUGCUGGCAACUAAGGACAAGGGUUGCGCUCGUUGCGGGACUUAACCCAACAUGUCACCACACGAGCUGACGACAGCCAUGCAGCACCUGUCUCCCGGUCGUAUUGCUACGAAAGCACUGUCUCCAGUGCGGUCCAGGGAUGUCAAACCCAGGUAAGGUUCUUCGCGUUGCUUCGAAUUAAACCACAUGAUCCACCGCUUGUGCGGGCCCCCGUCAAUUCCUUUGAGUUUUAGUCUUGCGACCGUACUUCCCAGGCGGGGUACUUAGUGCGUUAGCGCCGCUUCAGCGGGGGUCAAGACCCACCAAAGCUAGUACCCAUCGUUUACGGCGUGGACUAC
This 379-nucleotide unclassified non-coding RNA is filed under the name uncultured Oligoflexales bacterium. Its description in RNAcentral is "contains 16S-23S intergenic spacer region". The record is from RNAcentral. Lineage: Bacteria; Pseudomonadati; Bdellovibrionota; Oligoflexia; Oligoflexales.